UACGGAGGGUGCAAGCGUUAUCCGGAUUCACUGGGUUUAAAGGGUGCGUAGGCGGGCAGGUAAGUCAGUGGUGAAAUCUCCGGGCUUAACCCGGAAACUGCCGUUGACACUAUCUGUCUUGAAUAUCGUGGAGGUAAGCGGAAUAUGUCAUGUAGCGGUGAAAUGCUUAGAUAUGACAUAGAACACCCAUUGCGAAGGCAGCUUACUACACGAUCAUUGACGCUGAGGCACGAAAGCGUGGGGAGCAAACAGG
RNAcentral lists this ribosomal RNA (253 nucleotides) under uncultured bacterium. RNAcentral describes it as "partial 16S ribosomal RNA". It matches the Rfam family "Bacterial small subunit ribosomal RNA", at positions 524 to 776 of the family's 1533-position model. The record is from RNAcentral.